AACGAACGCUGGCGGCAUGCCUAACACAUGCCAGUCGAACGAGACCUUCGGGUCUAGUGGCGCACGGGUGCGUAACGCGUGGGAACCUGCCCUUAGGUUCGGAAUAACUCCCCGAAAGGGGUGCUAAUACCGGAUAAUGUCUUCGGACCAAAGAUUUAUCGCCUUUGGAUGGGCCCGCGUUGGAUUAGCUAGUUGGUAGGGUAAAAGCCUACCAAGGCGACGAUCCAUAGCUGGUAUGAGAGGAUGAUCAGCCACACUGGGACUGAGACACGGCCCAGACUCCUACGGGAGGCAGCAGUGGGGAAUAUUGGACAAUGGGCGAAAGCCUGAUCCAGCAAUGCCGCGUGAGUGAUGAAGGCCUUAGGGUUGUAAAGCUCUUUUACACGGGAUGAUAAUGACAGUACCGGGAGAAUAAGCUCCGGCUAACUCCGUG
RNAcentral lists this ribosomal RNA (433 nucleotides) under uncultured bacterium. Its description in RNAcentral is "partial 16S ribosomal RNA". It matches the Rfam family "Bacterial small subunit ribosomal RNA", at positions 29 to 507 of the family's 1533-position model. The record is from RNAcentral.